UGCCAGCAGCCGCGGUAAUACGGAGGAUGCAAGCGUUAAUCGGAAUUACUGGGCAUAAAGCGCACGUAGGCGGCUCAGUCAGUCGGAUGUGAAAGCCCCUGGCUCAACCAGGGAAUUGCAUUCGAUACUACUGGACUUGAGGGCAGCAGAGGAGAGUGGAACUCGUGGUGGAGCGGUGAAAUGCGUAGAUAUCACGAGGAACGCCGGUGGCGAAAGCGACUCUCUGGGCUGUUCCUGACGCUGAGGUGCGAAAGCCAGGGGAGCGAACGGGAUUAGAUA
This 279-nucleotide ribosomal RNA is filed under the name uncultured bacterium. RNAcentral describes it as "partial 16S ribosomal RNA". It matches the Rfam family "Bacterial small subunit ribosomal RNA", at positions 506 to 784 of the family's 1533-position model. The record is from RNAcentral.